This is a long non-coding RNA of Solanum pennellii, 2096 nucleotides long. RefSeq lists it as uncharacterized. NCBI's taxonomy places the organism in Eukaryota, Viridiplantae, Streptophyta, Magnoliopsida, Solanales, Solanaceae. The transcript is spliced from 2 exons. The record is from RefSeq and is a predicted model, not a curated record.
UAAUCUCCUCCUCAGCCUAUUCUUUACGCCAAAUUAGCCUUCCUCAUUUAAUUCAAAUCUCCCAGGCCCAUUUCCCUUUUAUCCGUCCCAUCCCACUCCAAGCAAAAUAAGUAGCCCCCUUAAUUUCAAUAUCAAAAUAUCCAGCCCCCCCCCUUCUUUCCCCUUCAGCAAGAGAAACCCAGUACUCCACGCGCAAUAAUUCCGAUGGAGUGAGAAGUAGCGAUAGCGCGUACCAGGAUAAACCCAUUUUCUUCUACUUGUUUCUUCACGCGCGAGAAGAACUGGCUUUUGUCCUUUUCCCUUGCAGAUCGUACAUCGCAACAAUUUGCAACAGAGCAGAAGCGCGCCUUUGUCCUUGUAGCAAAGGAUCAAUCCACGCAAGGGUAAGAAGCAUUCUUAAGUUUUUCUGGGGUGGAGGUUCUAACAGUUAGCUUGUUUCUCGUCUCAUUCACUGCCUAUAAAGAGGUAACGCUUCUGCUCCUAGUUUCUCCUCUCCGCCUUUUCCUCUAUUUCGUCUAAUGGUGCUCAAAUUGUUUGUGUCUGUCGUUGGCUGAUUAUUUUUGUGUGACUGAUAUAGUUUACAAAUGAAAUACAUGAUCUGGAUUAUUCCCUCAAGUUAGUCAUAUUAUUAUAUUAAGAUCCCGUAAAUCUUGGCUAUCAUAAAUCUUGUCUUGUUUCCUCUAAAUAUUAUUUAGCACAUGUAGUCAUACUUGUCAUCUGUUUUGCCUCUUUUGUUAUUUUUAUAUCUAAAUUAGGAUCUGGAUGUCAGUCUUCAAUUUCUUCUGCUAUCUUAGUAUCAUUUUAUUAAAAAAUUUUAGCAUAGAAUUUGUAAAAGUUCACUUUAGUGUCAAGUAGUCUCUUUCCCUCUUUCUGAAUGUGUAGAGUAUAAUAUGAUUUUUUUAUCUGGAGUUCAUCUAUCAAAAAAAUGCUAGACCUCUCUCUUAUCCACAUCUAAAUUUUUGUGAAAUAGUGGUGCAACUGGCUAUUUUGUUCACUAUUUUCCCUGUGUGCGAAAUGCCUGACUUUAGCCAAUCGAUGCAAAGUUUUCUUAGUGUCGUUGUUAAAUUCUGUGUCUCAUUUUUAUAAAAUGGAUUUCUUAGUAUUAUUUAGUCUAGGUAAAAAUGCCUAAAAAUAUCCUCCUUUAUUUAUGUCUAAAGUUUUAGUAAAAGUAGUGGCUUAUUUGUAAUUUUGUUUUUUUAGUGACGAGCUCAUAUCCAAAAUGCUCAAGUUUACUCUAUUAAUUCAUGUUUUUACCAUGGCCUUCGUUAAAUUUCGCAUUGCAUUUCAAUUCGAUUGCAUGUAUUCCUACAUCUCACUAAAAAUUCUCUAGUUAAUGCCUCUUUGUCAUUUGGUUUGUGGCCUACAGCUACUAGUUGUUAAGUUUUAAUGUCUUGUUUAGUUCAGCGUGUUUUUUUUUUAUCACUAAGCAGUGAGUUUUAAUAUGUUCAUUAGUUGCCUUUAGUUUAUUUUUCUAGAAAUAUGCUCAAUUAUUGAGGUAUUAGCCCAAAUACAGUAGCUCACUUUGAUUUCUUAUUAGCUAAAAGUCUUACUUCGAUGUUUAUCUUUACGAGACUCAUGUCACAAUCGCCUCAGUUGCUAGUUGAAAUUAUUUAAUGCCUCUACAAAAACUAAAAAAAAAAUAGUGAUUUUUAGCCUGUUUCAAUAUUUCUUUAUACUAAUUGACUGAGUUAUUACUUACAUUUCAUUCAUUUUGUUUGCAUGUAAAUUCGUGGAUCCAUGAAUCCUGUCCUCAUAUUUUAUCGGGCCACAAGGGCCCAUAUUUCCACAUUCGAAUAGAUCCCUUAGAAGCCGAUGAACAGGUCUCUAAAAUUGAAGAAUAUGGAGUUAACCCAUGGAGUUGAAGACUUAAGAUAAAAGCUCAAUUUUUUUUUACUAAGCCUUGUAGUUUGUUCUUUUGGGCAUAAGCCCUUGUCUCUUUUUAUUUUCUGAAUGAUUAUUAUUAUUGCAUGUUUAGUCUAGGAUAGGUCCGAACGAAAAUGGGUCGAAAACCCAAAAAUUCAAAUGGGUUAAAACCCAAAGACAGGUGGGUCCAAAUACCGGUCAAGGCGAACAGAAAACUCGGAUUUUUACCCAUA